ACUCCUACGGGAGGCAGCAGUGGGGAAUUUUGGACAAUGGGGGCAACCCUGAUCCAGCAAUGCCGCGUGUGUGAAGAAGGCCUUCGGGUUGUAAAGCACUUUUGUCCGGAAAGAAAACUCUCGUCCUAAUACGAUGGGGGGAUGACGGUACCG
Molecule: ribosomal RNA, 153 nt
Filed under: uncultured Burkholderia sp.
Lineage: Bacteria; Pseudomonadati; Pseudomonadota; Betaproteobacteria; Burkholderiales; Burkholderiaceae
Description: partial 16S ribosomal RNA
Rfam family: Bacterial small subunit ribosomal RNA
Source: RNAcentral